UGACUGCUGAGGAGUCCUAUAUAGAACGAAACGGCCGUCCAGUGC
RNAcentral lists this non-coding RNA (45 nucleotides) under Schistosoma margrebowiei. Lineage: Eukaryota; Metazoa; Platyhelminthes; Trematoda; Strigeidida; Schistosomatidae. The record is from RNAcentral.